RNAcentral lists this ribosomal RNA (2902 nucleotides) under Klebsiella pneumoniae. RNAcentral describes it as "23S ribosomal RNA". It matches the Rfam family "Bacterial large subunit ribosomal RNA". Lineage: Bacteria; Pseudomonadati; Pseudomonadota; Gammaproteobacteria; Enterobacterales; Enterobacteriaceae. The record is from RNAcentral.
GGUUAAGCGACUAAGCGUACACGGUGGAUGCCCUGGCAGUCAGAGGCGAUGAAGGACGUGCUAAUCUGCGAAAAGCGUCGGUAAGGUGAUAUGAACCGUUACAGCCGGCGAUGUCCGAAUGGGGAAACCCAGUGCAAUUCGUUGCACUAUCGUUAACUGAAUACAUAGGUUAACGAGGCGAACCGGGGGAACUGAAACAUCUAAGUACCCCGAGGAAAAGAAAUCAACCGAGAUUCCCCCAGUAGCGGCGAGCGAACGGGGAGCAGCCCAGAGUCUGAAUCAGCUUGUGUGUUAGUGGAACGGUCUGGAAAGUCCGACGGUACAGGGUGAUAGUCCCGUACACCAAAAUGCACAGGCUGUGAACUCGAAGAGUAGGGCGGGACACGUGGUAUCCUGUCUGAAUAUGGGGGGACCAUCCUCCAAGGCUAAAUACUCCUGACUGACCGAUAGUGAACCAGUACCGUGAGGGAAAGGCGAAAAGAACCCCGGCGAGGGGAGUGAAAAAGAACCUGAAACCGUGUACGUACAAGCAGUGGGAGCACCUUCGGGUGUGACUGCGUACCUUUUGUAUAAUGGGUCAGCGACUUAUAUUCUGUAGCAAGGUUAACCGUAUAGGGGAGCCGCAGGGAAACCGAGUCUUAACUGGGCGUUAAGUUGCAGGGUAUAGACCCGAAACCCGGUGAUCUAGCCAUGGGCAGGUUGAAGGUUGGGUAACACUAACUGGAGGACCGAACCGACUAAUGUUGAAAAAUUAGCGGAUGACUUGUGGCUGGGGGUGAAAGGCCAAUCAAACCGGGAGAUAGCUGGUUCUCCCCGAAAGCUAUUUAGGUAGCGCCUCGUGAAUUCAUCUUCGGGGGUAGAGCACUGUUUCGGCUAGGGGGUCAUCCCGACUUACCAACCCGAUGCAAACUACGAAUACCGAAGAAUGUUAUCACGGGAGACACACGGCGGGUGCUAACGUCCGUCGUGAAGAGGGAAACAACCCAGACCGCCAGCUAAGGUCCCAAAGUCAUGGUUAAGUGGGAAACGAUGUGGGAAGGCACAGACAGCCAGGAUGUUGGCUUAGAAGCAGCCAUCAUUUAAAGAAAGCGUAAUAGCUCACUGGUCGAGUCGGCCUGCGCGGAAGAUGUAACGGGGCUAAACCAUGCACCGAAGCUGCGGCAGCGACACUAUGUGUUGUUGGGUAGGGGAGCGUUCUGUAAGCCUGCGAAGGUGUGCUGUGAGGCAUGCUGGAGGUAUCAGAAGUGCGAAUGCUGACAUAAGUAACGAUAAAGCGGGUGAAAAGCCCGCUCGCCGGAAGACCAAGGGUUCCUGUCCAACGUUAAUCGGGGCAGGGUGAGUCGACCCCUAAGGCGAGGCCGAAAGGCGUAGUCGAUGGGAAACAGGUUAAUAUUCCUGUACUUGGUGUUACUGCGAAGGGGGGACGGAGAAGGCUAUGUUAGCCGGGCGACGGUUGUCCCGGUUUAAGCAUGUAGGCUGGUUGUCCAGGCAAAUCCGGAUAAUCAAGGCUGAGGUGUGAUGACGAGGCACUACGGUGCUGAAGUAACAAAUGCCCUGCUUCCAGGAAAAGCCUCUAAGCAUCAGGUAACAUCAAAUCGUACCCCAAACCGACACAGGUGGUCAGGUAGAGAAUACCAAGGCGCUUGAGAGAACUCGGGUGAAGGAACUAGGCAAAAUGGUGCCGUAACUUCGGGAGAAGGCACGCUGGUGUGUAGGUGAAGUCCCUGCGGAUGGAGCUGAGACCAGUCGAAGAUACCAGCUGGCUGCAACUGUUUAUUAAAAACACAGCACUGUGCAAACACGAAAGUGGACGUAUACGGUGUGACGCCUGCCCGGUGCCGGAAGGUUAAUUGAUGGGGUUAUCCGUAAGGAGAAGCUCUUGAUCGAAGCCCCGGUAAACGGCGGCCGUAACUAUAACGGUCCUAAGGUAGCGAAAUUCCUUGUCGGGUAAGUUCCGACCUGCACGAAUGGCGUAAUGAUGGCCAGGCUGUCUCCACCCGAGACUCAGUGAAAUUGAACUCGCUGUGAAGAUGCAGUGUACCCGCGGCAAGACGGAAAGACCCCGUGAACCUUUACUAUAGCUUGACACUGAACAUUGAGCCUUGAUGUGUAGGAUAGGUGGGAGGCUUUGAAGCGUGGACGCCAGUCUGCGUGGAGCCAACCUUGAAAUACCACCCUUUAAUGUUUGAUGUUCUAACGUUGGCCCCUGACCGGGGUUGCGGACAGUGUCUGGUGGGUAGUUUGACUGGGGCGGUCUCCUCCCAAAGCGUAACGGAGGAGCACGAAGGUUAGCUAAUCCUGGUCGGACAUCAGGAGGUUAGUGCAAUGGCAUAAGCUAGCUUGACUGCGAGCGUGACGGCGCGAGCAGGUGCGAAAGCAGGUCAUAGUGAUCCGGUGGUUCUGAAUGGAAGGGCCAUCGCUCAACGGAUAAAAGGUACUCCGGGGAUAACAGGCUGAUACCGCCCAAGAGUUCAUAUCGACGGCGGUGUUUGGCACCUCGAUGUCGGCUCAUCACAUCCUGGGGCUGAAGUAGGUCCCAAGGGUAUGGCUGUUCGCCAUUUAAAGUGGUACGCGAGCUGGGUUUAGAACGUCGUGAGACAGUUCGGUCCCUAUCUGCCGUGGGCGCUGGAGAAUUGAGGGGGGCUGCUCCUAGUACGAGAGGACCGGAGUGGACGCAUCACUGGUGUUCGGGUUGUCAUGCCAAUGGCACUGCCCGGUAGCUAAAUGCGGAAGAGAUAAGUGCUGAAAGCAUCUAAGCACGAAACUUGCCCCGAGAUGAGUUCUCCCUGAGACUUUAAGUCUCCUGAAGGAACGUUGAAGACGACGACGUUGAUAGGCCGGGUGUGUAAGCGCAGCGAUGCGUUGAGCUAACCGGUACUAAUGAACCGUGAGGCUUAACCUU